Molecule: small RNA, 117 nt
Filed under: Firmicutes bacterium CAG:882
Lineage: Bacteria; Bacillati; Bacillota
Description: Clostridiales-1 RNA
Rfam family: Clostridiales-1 RNA
Source: Rfam by way of RNAcentral
GGCGCAUAAGCCGUUGACAAAUGAGGAAUACAGUGAUGCGAAUAAAAUGAGCAGCGCGAAUUCCGAAUUUUCGUCAGGAAUUGUGGGAGCGCGAAGCGCGGAACAAUUCCGUGGGCU